GUAACACGUGGGUAACCUGCCUUUAAGUGGGGGAUAACAUUUGGAAACAGAUGCUAAUACCGCAUAAAUCCAAGAACCGCAUGGUUCUUGGCUGAAAGAUGGCGUAAGCUAUCGCUUUUGGAUGGACCCGCGGCGUAUUAGCUAGUUGGUGAGGUAACGGCUCACCAAGGCAAUGAUACGUAGCCGAACUGAGAGGUUGAUCGGCCACAUUGGGACUGAGACACGGCCCAAACUCCUACGGGAGGCAGCAGUAGGGAAUCUUCCACAAUGGACGCAAGUCUGAUGGAGCAACGCCGCGUGAGUGAAGAAGGCUUUCGGGUCGUAAAACUCUGUUGUUGGAGAAGAAUGGUCGGCAGAGUAACUGUUGUCGGCGUGACGGUAUCCAACCAGAAAGCCACGGCUAACUACGUGCCAGCAGCCGCGGUAAUACGUAGGUGGCAAGCGUUAUCCGGAUUUAUUGGGCGUAAAGCGAGCGCAGGCGGUUUUUUAAGUCUGAUGUGAAAGCCCUCGGCUUAACCGAGGAAGUGCAUCGGAAACUGGGAAACUUGAGUGCAGAAGAGGACAGUGGAACUCCAUGUGUAGCGGUGAAAUGCGUAGAUAUAUGGAAGAACACCAGUGGCGAAGGCGGCUGUCUGGUCUGUAACUGACGCUGAGGCUCGAAAGCAUGGGUAGCGAACAGGAUUAGAUACCCUGGUAGUCCAUGCCGUAAACGAUGAAUGCUAGGUGUUGGAGGGUUUCCGCCCUUCAGUGCCGCAGCUAACGCAUUAAGCAUUCCGCCUGGGGAGUACGACCGCAAGGUUGAAACUCAAAGGAAUUGACGGGGGCCCGCACAAGCGGUGGAGCAUGUGGUUUAAUUCGAAGCAACGCGAAGAACCUUACCAGGUCUUGACAUCUUUUGAUCACCUGAGAGAUCAGGUUUCCCCUUCGGGGGCAAAAUGACAGGUGGUGCAUGGUUGUCGUCAGCUCGUGUCGUGAGAUGUUGGGUUAAGUCCCGCAACGAGCGCAACCCUUAUGACUAGUUGCCAGCAUUUAGUUGGGCACUCUAGUAAGACUGCCGGUGACAAACCGGAGGAAGGUGGGGAUGACGUCAAAUCAUCAUGCCCCUUAUGACCUGGGCUACACACGUGCUACAAUGGAUGGUACAACGAGUUGCGAGACCGCGAGGUCAAGCUAAUCUCUUAAAGCCAUUCUCAGUUCGGACUGUAGGCUGCAACUCGCCUACACGAAGUCGGAAUCGCUAGUAAUCGCGGAUCAGCACGCCGCGGUGAAUACGUUCCCGGGCCUUGUACACACCGCCCGUCACACCAUGAGAGUUU
RNAcentral lists this ribosomal RNA (1316 nucleotides) under Levilactobacillus brevis. RNAcentral describes it as "bacterial SSU rRNA". It matches the Rfam family "Bacterial small subunit ribosomal RNA", at positions 110 to 1413 of the family's 1533-position model. Lineage: Bacteria; Bacillati; Bacillota; Bacilli; Lactobacillales; Lactobacillaceae. The record is from RNAcentral.